GCGAAAGCAUUUGCCAAGAAUGUUUCCAUUAAUCAAGAACGAAAGUUAGAGGUUCGAAGGCGAUCAGAUACCGCCCUAGUUCUAACCAUAAACGAUGCCAGCCAGCGAUCCGGCUGUGUUCCUCAAAUGACACGCCGGGCAGCUUCCGGGAAACCAAAGCUUUUGGGUUCCGGGGGAAGUAUGGUUGCAAAGCUGAAACUUAAAGGAAUUGACGGAAGGGCACCACCAGGAUUGGAGCUUGCGGUUUAAUUUGACUCAACACGGGACAACCUACCCGGCCCGGACACAGGAAGGAUUGACAGAUUAAGAGCUCUUUCUUGAUUCUGUGGGUGGUGGUGCAUGGCCGUUCUUAGUUGGUGGACUGAUUUGUCUGGUUAAUUCCGUUAACGAACGAGACUCUAGCCUACUAAAUAGACGUUCCGAUUAUUUAUUUUUCGGACGUUCUUCUUAGAGGGACAAUCGGCGCUUAGCCCGAUGAGACAGAGCAAUAACAGGUCUGUGAUGCCCUUUGAUGUCCGGGGCCACACGCGUGCUACAUUGAAGGAAUCAGCGUGUGCUUUCCCUGUCCGACAGGACUGGGUAACCCGUUGAACCUCCUUCGUGCUGGGGAUAGGGGCUUGUAAUUGUUCCCCUUGAACGAGGAAUUCCUAGUAAGCACGAAUCAUCAGUUCGUGUUGACUAAGUCCCUGCCCUUUGUCCACACCGCCCGUCGCU
RNAcentral lists this ribosomal RNA (714 nucleotides) under Draconarius picta. RNAcentral's name for it is "SSU rRNA". It matches the Rfam family "Eukaryotic small subunit ribosomal RNA", at positions 945 to 1680 of the family's 1831-position model. RNAcentral also lists the same sequence under 3 other names. The record is from RNAcentral. Lineage: Eukaryota; Metazoa; Arthropoda; Arachnida; Araneae; Agelenidae.